Tachysurus vachellii is the source of this 4154-nucleotide RNA transcript. RefSeq lists it as uncharacterized. The record is from RefSeq and is a predicted model, not a curated record. NCBI's taxonomy places the organism in Eukaryota, Metazoa, Chordata, Actinopteri, Siluriformes, Bagridae. The transcript has 4 exons.
AUCUAUCCGUACCAUUUUCUUAUCAGUUAUGAUAGACUUAUGCUAAAUAUAGUUAUAAAUGCGACCUACAGUACAGUAUAAAUAUAAGGAUUUGUAUGUUAAUAAUCAACCACCAUCGAAUAUAUAUCAUAUCUAAAUGCUAUAUUAAAAUAAAUUACAAAUUACAUAAGCUGUUGUUUUGCUCAAUUAUAUACAUUAUAUUUCUCUCAUGUAAUAUUUUUGUAGGAAUUGGAUACAGAAUUCAGUCUCAUAUACUUCCCUAUAUUUAGAUAAAAUAUAUAUAUUCUUGUUUAAUGUUGUUGAGAAGUGUUUACUGUGUGUGAUGUUGGUCUUCUGUUUACAUUUAAAGACAGCAAGGGUGUCAAUUUAUUCAGGCAAACGAAGGAAGGUUUUUUCUAUCAUCUGUGACUCAGCACAGAAAAUAAUCUUGAUGCCUGUGGUUCUGGAGUCUUGAAGGGUUUUGGCUCAAGCUUUAUCAAGGCAGACCAGUGGAGGGCUGUAAAACACACUAAUACAAAAAUUGUUACACAGUCCAUUUUUGAUAUGAAUAAAUAAAAGGAUGGAUGUUCCAGGGAAUGUUUCAGGGAAAAAGGACAACUGGCCGAGUUCCAGGAGACUUAGAGCAAUUAGUGUGAGUUCUGUCAGUGGAAAGUUAUGUUCCUUCGACUGUCUGAGAAAUAUUUAUUUUACACAUUUAUCAGUUUUAGCAGGGAGGAGACUAUGUGUUUAAUAAACAGUGCAAUUAGAAUUUGACUUAUCUGAUAUGAGCAUCUGGGGUUUUCUCAUAGAAAGUCUCAUGGAAAAAGUUUUCUCAAAGUCUCAUAGAAAAGAAAAGCACAAACAAGAAUUGUGGAAAGCUCAUAACCAGUCCACAGGAAAAAUGCUUCAAGGUUUUGUAGCGAUUUUGGCUCGCGAAGCAAGGUAAAUAUUUAUAAGUAAUUAUAACGUGUUAUAGUGACUCCUAAAUAUUUUAACCUAAGUUGAAAUUGACGGUAAUGGAAUUAACGUUACACUUAUUUGGUCUGUUCGUCCGCCGAACAGAUCGUGUAACCUUUAUUAAUUCUAUGAAGGUGGUAUGUUCCCGGCCGAGAAAGACGCACUUCCCUUUUACUUUAUACCGUAAUAUAAAUUAAAUUAACUUAAUAGAGCAUGUAGUUCAGACCAGAUGUUGCAGGUACCUUACGUUUGUGAGCGAUACUCAGAGACAAUCACUUGUGGAACAAAAAUAUGGCGUUUAAUGAAUGAGACAAAUACAACAUAAAGCUAACUAUACGAACAAACAAAAGAAGUAGAGAAAACAAAGAUGAAAAUAAAAAUACACAAAAGAAAUUAAAAUUGGGGAAAGAGAGGAAGAGACUGGAAAGAAGAAAUUAGAGAAAGGAAGGAAAGGAAUGGCAAGCUUAAACUUCAAAAUUAAUCACACCCUAACUGGGAAAUCGUCACCGGAAACUUAAAUUCACCUUAAGACUCAAUACAAGGUUCAUACUUAAAAUACGCAUCUAAAUUGGUUGGUAAAGGAAAUGGUUACUUGCAUUGGCUUGCUGCACAAGAGUAAGGAUGCAACAGAGAAAUCUCUGACGAGUCAGUUAGGGUGGGGCAGUUGUCGUUAUUGGAAGUGAAGCUUGCUGGAAGUUCUUUGAAGGAAGAUGGAGUCAUCUCCGAGCUGUUCUGAAAGUCUGACCUGUUUGUGACAUUUUAAAGGUGCCGCACUCCACCCAUCUUUGGGGAGAUGGCCAAUACUACGGCCCGGAUUCCGGAGGGAAAAACUCCCUUUGUUUCAGGUGUCUGUGGGCGUGGUUUAGCUAUAAAACUUUUAGAUGACUUUAAAGUUUUAUCCAAGGUGUAUUAAGAUGGUAUGGCGCCUUUCGUGCUCAAAUAAAAUACACCAUUGUUUGAAAAAUGAGUAACCGAUAAUUUUGUGGUAAUUUGGAUACUAAACAUGAAGGGGAAUGACGGUAUAAAGGCAGCGGUACAUUACAUACACAGAUCAAUAAUCAAAGUGUAACUGAUGUUACUACGAUAUUGUGUUCUGAUAAAGGCAAAGAAACAAAAAUGAAACACAAAACAAAAUGCAUUUUCAUUAGGGACGUGAAAAACAGAUAAUUUUGUAUACAUUCUGACAUCAGACCUUAAAAGGACAUACAGCAUUAGAACAGGUAUACAUUAACAUGCCAGGGUCGGUAAUUAAAGUAUAACUGAUGUUAAUACAGUGUUGUGUUCUCGUUUUAUUAGUAAAAGGAAUGUCCCACUGUGUUUUGUGUGUGUGUGUGUGUGUGUGUGUGUGUUCUUGUUGAGGGCCCCUAUGAGUUCAAUCAGAGAAGCGGCAUGAGGUUAUCUGGUCUUUGUGUAGGAUCCAGCCAUUCUGGAGCCAGUUGUGUGUGUGUGACACUGUGGAAUGCAGACCCUCAAUAAAUUGAACAAAAACACGGGUGUUUUUAAGGAAUCAACCUGAACAAUUAAAGAAUGUCCAAAAUGGAAUAAUGGACAGGCUGAAAAGACGCGUUGAGAUCCAGCUUGUGGAUUCAGUUGAUAGCUGUAAUGUCAGCAUCGCUUUUGUUCCAAUUGUGUCUCGGGCCGGAACAGACAUUGAAGCUGCUCUUCGAACUAUUCCCACAUCUCCCCAACAGUCUGUUGUCCUCAUAGUUAUCCACCACACCUUUGAUGGAGAUUACAUUGCUCCAGUCAGCAAUUGGUCUGUGAAAAGGGAAGGUGUGUUUGCUGUAGACUUCCUCGGUCAUGAAGAUUGUGGACUGCUGGAAUGUUUGGCCAAUGAUAUGGCACUUAAAUCCCUCACUGAUUAUCUGGCCCCUGAUGCACCAGAUACCCCACAGCUUCUACCAAAUACUCCACAAUGUCCAAGACAUUAUUGGAUCAAGUUUGUUGUCGUCUGUUGUCUUUUGGUUGUUUGUGUCCUCUGUAUUGUGCUACUUGUUUAUUUUCUCGAUCAGCCAAGUCAAGGAAAUAAUCACAUUCUACCUCUGAAUAUGACCAACAUAACUCUACCUGUAACUACACCUGCAACUACACAGUAGCCUAAUGUAACUGUAUCUAAAUAGAAGACUGUUAUUAUGCAUCUACUUUCUUUAUUUAACCAGGUGAGUCAGUUGGGAACCAGUUCUCAUUUACAAUGACAACCUGACCAAGAGGCAACAUAAAAACUAAUACACUACACAAACACAGCUAUCACAUGUAAAAAACACUAAAAACAUGUACAGUGAUCAUGAGUUAGUGACUGAAUUGAAUAUUUAAAGGAAGAAAGCGAUAUAAAUUAACUAAGCUUAAGAGUCCGCUGCAGAUGAUUCCAAUCAUAUGCAGCAGAAAACUGAAAAGAGCAUCGACCAAAGAACGUACGGACUUUAGGAAUGCAGAAAUUAAAGAAUCGGCUAGAGCGCAGAUUACGACUUGUAUUAUUAACAUUAAGCAGGGACUGUAAAUACAAGGGAGUUUUACCGAUAAGAGUUUUAUAAAUGAAAAAAAACAAUGAGUUUGUCUGCAAGAAUGAAGAGAAGACCAAUUCAACAUCUGUAACGCCAAAGCAGCUUAAUCUAACUACAGCUAGAGCAGUCUAACAUAAUGGUAACUAAACAGCAACAAGUGUUUAGCUAUAACUACACAGCACACUAAUCUAACAGUAGCUGCAAAAUAAAUAUAUAUAAAAUAUAAGUCUAAUAUUGAUUCUUCUGAAUCAGCUGCAUUUUCAUUACAGUUACAUUUUUUUAUUUUGACAAUGAGUCGAUCAAACUUGUUGCAAGUAUUUUUGACAUCAGUCAUUAUAUAAUCAUUCUAACUAGAAGAAAAAAAAAAGAAACCAUACACUAUAAAAACAUUCUGUGCUUCAUAAAGGUUUCAUUUAGAACAUUUUUUGAUGAAACAGUUUUUUUCCGUUUCUAAGAGUUUCUUAGACAAAUCUACCAUAAUGUGUUUUUUAGGUUUAAGAUUAAAUCCAUUUAAAAUAUUUAAUGCUUAUUAAACACAUUCAUAAUCUUGCGCUAAUUCACUAAUGCAUGAAUUCAUAUUCCUUAUAUGAGUCUGUAGGUAAACAGCUCAUGUAUUUUAGCUUCUAAUAAUGAUUAAAACUCUCAUAUGCUGCUGCUAAAAUGUAAUGUGAUGUUUGUGAAAAUAAAAAUAAAAUAAAAUAAAAUGAAAAACCUUCA